This 301-nucleotide ribosomal RNA is filed under the name uncultured bacterium. Its description in RNAcentral is "partial 16S ribosomal RNA". It matches the Rfam family "Bacterial small subunit ribosomal RNA", at positions 509 to 807 of the family's 1533-position model. The record is from RNAcentral.
CAGUAGCCACGGGAAUACGUAGGUGGCAAGCGUUGUCCGGAAUUAUUGGGCGUAAAGGGCUCGCAGGCGGUCUCUUAAGUCUGAUGUGAAAGCCCCCGGCUCAACCGGGGAGGGUCAUUGGAAACUGGGAAACUUGAGUGCAGAAGAGGAGAGUGGAAUUCCACGUGUAGCGGUGAAAUGCGUAGAGAUGUGGAGGAACACCAGUGGCGAAGGCGACUCUCUGGUCUGUAACUGACGCUGAGGAGCGAAAGCGUGGGGAGCGAACAGGAUUAGAUACCCCCGUAGUCCCUGUCUCUUAUAC